AUGGUUCUGAUUGGUUCUUUGUGUGUUCCACAGGAAGACUGCUCCCUGACCUACCUGAGUCUUGCAGGAAAUCAACUGAUGGACGGCAGAGUGGCCACCCUCGCCAGUGUGUCCUGCUGUCCAGGUGUUGGCCUGUCUGUCUCUCCGUGGUGUAUGUGGACCUGUCAGAGAAACAGGCAGGGACCUCAGUGGGACUCCACAGCCUCCUCUCCACCCAGCUACCUUUGACCUAUCUGAACCUCCAUGCAACCUCCCAACAUUUGCUGAUGGACUGAAGAAAUGGUCAAGCUGAGAAAUGAUUAAAUCGCUUUGAUCUGUCAUGUUCCCCCUAGUCUCUUCCCACAGCCACUGUAUCUCUGACACAACACUGGGGGUGGAGCAUCAUGAGUCUUACCAGUGAAACAAUGUUCACACCCAACUGGUUGUGAGUUUAAAAUAAACACAGCUUCACACUUUGGUUUCCUGACAGGCCUUCUUCUCACUGUUUAAUAUUUCUACAAAGGAGGGUGUUGGGUGAGCUUCAAGAUACUGUGGUAAAGUUCCUAGUCGCACAUCAGUGUUAUCACCUUAAUGUAUCACUAUAUCACUCAGAGAUUGGGCCAAGCCAAUUAUGGUUAGGAUAACUCAUUUCAUCACCAUUUAUUGUAAUUUCCCAUUUCUAAAAAGCAAUUACUAAAUGGUUUCUGUUAGUGCAACUUGUGGAUGGUGCUACUUGUUAAUUAUUUAAGCAUACCCAUUGUGCUGCUAACCACACUAUUACACUAUUCAGGUUGGGGACAUUUUUUUUAAACGAUGCAUGCGUUCAUACUGAAAUACUUUAUAGAGAGUGCAGCAUGAGCAAAUCAUUGGACACGUAGUCUCUUCCCACAGCUGCUGUGUCUAACCUUUUAGUUUGAGGCAAGCCAGACUAAGACAUGCAUGUGGUUAUACUCAAGUCUAGCUAGAAUCCUCUCAGAUGCAGAUAAAUAAACAUUACACUACAUAAACUUAUGUAUGUUUAAUUUGAGUCUUCCUAAAACUGCAACCCUUCCCAGUUGGCUUUACAGCCUUUUUGUAUUUUAUUUGACUAGUAGACCUGUAUUCUUUUAGGAACUCAGUCAUGGUCCUACAGUUGUAUAAGGUAGUUGUUGUGAAAUUGUUAGAUUACUUGUUAGAUAUUACCGCACGGUCGGAACUAGAAUCACAAGCAUUUCGCUACACUCGUAUUAACAUCUGCUAACCAUGUAUAUGUGACCAAUAAGAUUUGAUUUGAUUUGUUGAGAGUUAGAAAAGUGGAAUUCACAAGGUGUAUCUUUUGAUGACAGGUUGCAGAGUGAUCUCAGGCAUUUAUAUUAUGUUAUAUUAAUAUUAUGCAUUAUGUAGAUAUAUCUACUUCAGUGUGUCUUUGUGGGGGCGGUUAAACAGUGCAUUCGGAAAGUAUUCAGACUCCUUCACUUUCUCCACAUUUUUACGUUACAGCCUUAUUCUAAAAUUGAAUAAGUCGUUUUUUGUCCUCAUCAAUCUACACACAAUACCCCAUAAUACCAAAGCAAAAACUGGUUUUAGGAUUUUUUUUUGCAAAUACAUUAAAAAAAGUAUAAAAAUAAAUAUCAAAUGUACAUAAGUAUUCAGCUUCUUUGGCAGCGAUUACAGCCUUGAGUAUGACGCUACAAGCUCGGCACACCUGUAUUUGGGAGUUUCUCCUAUUCUUCUCUGCAGAUCCUCUCAAGCUCUUUUAGGUUGGAUGUGGAGCAUCGCUGCACAGCUUUUUUCAGGUCUCUCCAGAGAUGUUCAAUCGGGAUCAAGUCUGGGGUCUGGCUGGGCCACUCAAGGACAUUCAGAGACUUGUCCCGAAGCCACUCCUGCAUUGUGUUGACUGUGUGCUUAGGGUUGUUGUCCUGUUGGAAAGUGAAACUUCACCCCAUUCUGAGGUCCUGAGCACUCUGGAGCAGGUUUUCAUCAAGGAUCUCUGUACUUUGCUACAUUCAUCUCCCAGUCCCUGCCGCUGAUAAACAUCCCCACAGCAUGAUGCUGCCAUCAGCAUGCUUCACCGUAGGGAUGGUGCCAGGUUUCCUCCAGAUGUGACGCUUGACAUUCAGGCCAAAGAAUUCAAUCUUGGUUUCAUCAGACCAGAAAAUCAUGUUUCUCAUGUUCUGAGAGUCCUUUAGGUACUUUUUGUCAAACUCCAAGCGGGCUGUUGUGUGCUUUUUACUGAGUAGUGGGUUCUGUCUGGAUACUCAGGCCUGAUUUGGCCUGAUUUGUGAAGUUCUUGGUCACCUUGGUCACCUCACUGACCAAUGCCCUUUAUCCCCCAAUUGCUCAGUUUGGCUGGGUGACCAGCUCUAGGAAGAGUCUUGGUGGUUCCAAACUUCUUCCAUUUGGAAUGAUGGAGGCCACUGUGUUCUUGGGGACCUUACAUGCUGCAGAAAUGUUUUGGGACCCUUCCCCAGAACUGUGCCUCGACACAACCCUGUCUCGGGGCUCUACAGACAAUUCCUUUGACCUCAUGGCUUGAUUUUUGCUCUGACAUGUACUGUCAACUGUGGGACCUUAUAUAGACAGGUGUGUGCCUUUCUAAAUCAUGUCCAAUCAAUGUAAUCUACCACAGGUGGACUCCAAUCAAGUUGUAGAGACAUCUCAAGGAUGAUCAAUGGAAUCCGGAUGCACCUGAGCUCAAUUUUGAGACUCAUAGCAAAGGGUCUGAAUAAUUAUGUAUGGUAUUUCUGUUUUUUAUUUUUAUUAAAACCAUUUUUAAAUUUUUUCGCAUUGUCAAUUUGUGCAGAUUGAUGGGAAAACAAUUAUUUAAUCAAUUUUAGGAUAAGUCUGUAACUUUCACGCCCUGACCUUAGAGAUCCUUUUUAUGUCUCUGUUUUGGUUUGGUCAGGGCGUGAGUUGCGGUGGGCAUUUUAUGUUUUGUGUUCUAUGUUUUCUAUUUCUUUGUGUUUGGCCGGGUAUGGUUCUCAAUCAGGGACAGCUGUCUAUCGUUGUCUCUCAUUGGGAACCAUACUUAGGUACCCUUUUCCCACAUGUGUGUGUGUGUGUGAGGUUGUCUCUGUUUAGAGCACUUUGCUUGUGAGCUUCACGUUUUAAAAAAAUGUAGUGUUUAUUGUUUUGUUUGGCGUCAUUUUGCUUAAAAUAAAGAAAAUGUACGCUCACCACGCUUGCACCUUGGUCCUCAUCCUUCAACAGCCGUGAGAGAACCUCCCAACCACCAAAGGACCAAGCAGCGUGGUGUAAUGGACUCCUGGACAUGGGAUGAGAUCUUGGAUGGGAAGGGACCCUGGAGGCACGCCAUCCACAGGAGGAACUGGAGGCAGCUAAGGCUGAGUGGCAACAUUACGAGGGAACACGGCUGGCAAGGAAGCCAGAGAGGCAGCCCCAACCA
This is a long non-coding RNA of Oncorhynchus kisutch (coho salmon), 3364 nucleotides long. Lineage: Eukaryota; Metazoa; Chordata; Actinopteri; Salmoniformes; Salmonidae. The record is from Ensembl.